AUUGAACGCUGGCGGCAUGCUUUACACAUGCAAGUCGAACGGCAGCACGGGAGCAAUCCUGGUGGCGAGUGGCGAACGGGUGAGUAAUAUAUCGGAACGUGCCCAGUCGUGGGGGAUAACGUAGCGAAAGCUACGCUAAUACCGCAUACGAUCUAUGGAUGAAAGCGGGGGAUCGCAAGACCUCGCGCGAUUGGAGCGGCCGAUAUCAGAUUAGGUAGUUGGUGAGGUAAAGGCUCACCAAGCCGACGAUCUGUAGCUGGUCUGAGAGGACGACCAGCCACACUGGGACUGAGACACGGCCCAGACUCCUACGGGAGGCAGCAGUGGGGAAUUUUGGACAAUGGGCGCAAGCCUGAUCCAGCAAUGCGCGUGCAGGAUGAAGGCCUUCGUGUUGUAAACUGCUUUUGUAAAUAAGCCGGAACGAAACGGCGAGCUCUAAUACAGUUUGCUAAUGACGGUACCGUGAG
Molecule: ribosomal RNA, 467 nt
Filed under: uncultured Comamonadaceae bacterium
Lineage: Bacteria; Pseudomonadati; Pseudomonadota; Betaproteobacteria; Burkholderiales; Comamonadaceae
Description: bacterial SSU rRNA
Rfam family: Bacterial small subunit ribosomal RNA
Source: RNAcentral